CCGUUACGCCUCCAACACAUGAGGCUAGUACUUCAGAGGUUUCCAAUCGCUGUUAAGUACAAGCCAGGCAAAGAGCUUCUCUUAGCCGAUGCCCUCUCAUGUUUUCCAAGUGCAACUGCGAGAACAAACUGAACAGUUUGAAGUUGAUGUCGUUUCUUCUCUGCUCAUUGUGGGUGACCAACUGCAGAGCAUCCAGGAGGAAACCAACAAUGACGCACUUAUGUUGCAGUUGCCUUCUUAUACCAGCACAGACUGGCCCAAGACAAAGCUACAACUACCGGAUGCCCUGUGAUCUUUUUGGGCCUACCACGAUGAACUGCAUACCGAAGAUGGCCUGCUGUUUAGGAGCAACAAGCUAGUCAUCCCGCCAGCCAAGUGCCAGGAAGUUCUCCACUUACUACAUGCAGAACACGGGUGAGAAGAAAAAAUGAAGGCCCGACAGGUGAUGUUCUGGCCUAACAUGAAUUCUGACAUUCGGAAUAUUGCAAACUCUUGCCGUGUACGCCAAAAAUACAAAAACGGAAAUGCAAAGCUUCCAGUGCUCUGUCAUCCAGUGCCCAGCUUGCCCUAGCAGCCUGUUGGUAUGGACUUCUACUACGGGGGCAACGAGUACUUGAUUACAGUAGAUUUCUACUCGUUUUUUUUAGAGAUCCGAAAGCUUCGCCAUACAACAGUGCAAGCAGUUAUCCAAGCAUGCAUCAAGUUUUUGCAAUGCACGAGAUCGCUGCCAACAACAUGCAGUGAUAAUGGGCCCCCAUUCAGCAGUGGAAUGUUCAGAUCGUUCACGUCUCAUUUUCACAUCAACCAUGUCAUGUCCAGCCCCCACUAUCCAUAUAGAAACGGCAUAGCAGGAUGUGCUGUUCAAGCAGCAAAAAUGUUGCACAAGAAGUGUUCAUUUGGGGUCUUUGAAUUUUGCAGCACCAUGCUGAAAUGAAGAAAUUCACUGAAAGAUGACCUUCUGCAGUUCCCAUCAGAAAGAUUGAUGGGCUGCUGCACCAGAACCAGGCUGCCAGUACUGGACUGUCAUCUCAAGCCAAAGAGUAUUCUCACUGAAACCGUCUGAAGCCACCUAGAGGACACUAGGAGCAGGCAACAAAAGUAUUACAAUUCUGUUCGACAUCUUCCAGAUCUUCACAGAAGAUCUGCAGUGUCAAUCUAUGACACUUUACAGAGAACCUGGGCUCCAGCAGUAGCUGUAGGCAUAGCAGGCACACCAUGAUCCUACAUAAUCGAUACUGGCAGCGGACGUCUGCGUCGCACAAGAGAGCAUCUAAGAACUACAAAGGCAGAAAUGCAGGAUCCACCUUCCCAAAUGGAACUGCCAGGCGAUAUUUCGACUCAGCAGGCAAUGCCUGAAGAUGGGCUUCGUAGGAGCACGCGCCAGAGCAGGGAGCCACAACGGCUUCCCUUGCCAGAACGCUGAACUUAAUCACGUAUUCCAUAUUUUUUUUUUCCAGUGAAGAGAAGAUGUGACAAAAGGCAAAGUCAUCUGCAUGCGUGCACAAGACAACACCUGCACAUGUUGCAGCCCAAGAGUGCUCCCCAAGAGCAAGAGUUCCAGGGGUGUCAAGUGUCCAGAAGCAGCCCCAGGUUCUUGGAAGAAAUGUUGUUUGAACUAGACAGACGGUGGCGCUUUCGCCGGCAGGACCAUUGGUAAAAUUAGUGACACUGUUGUUGGCAGUAGUGCUGUACAGUUUACCUGUUGUUAGUAUUAGGCGAAUAAAGACGUCAGUGGACCUCUCAAUAAAGCUGCAGAGUAAAGUUGUUUUUGUGAAUUUAUUAAUGCAGUUACUGAGCGGCGCAAUGUGUUGUGCUGUUUCCAUUCAGUGUCGAACCGAAGCUUUUUUCGUUGCUGUUUUCGUUCCAGUUUAGCGAAAACUGAUCAGUUCCCGUUUAUUCGCGGAGCGAGAAAUAGCAUGACCUAAAAAAAGUUAAUGAAAAACAGCGCACAUCUAUUUUGUGCAAUAACCUGAUGGGUGCUCCUAGCUGUUGGGAAAGACUAACGCAUGCUGUUCUUAAAAGGCCCCUCACCAGGUCUGGCCAUUUUAACUGACUAGUGCAGUGCAUACAAUGCGUGCUAACUAUCAUGUCUGUGAAGUAUGACACCGCGACGUGCCCCGAAAAAAGCUGAAAUUUCAAACCAUAUGCCGUGCACCCUUCUCGCGGGCGCCGCGCUCCCAGCCACAGAGUCGUCAAUCACAAGUGUGCCUAUGUAAAUGGCAGCGCUGUGGCUUCACUCAGUGACACAUGACUUGGAGAAUUAUUCAAGGUAACAUCGGUUAUUUGUUUGACCUAUUGCUUCAAUGGACAGAUUAAAGCUCAGAGGAAUAG
This 2331-nucleotide long non-coding RNA is filed under the name Dermacentor andersoni. RNAcentral's name for it is "uncharacterized LOC126545243". The record is from RNAcentral. Lineage: Eukaryota; Metazoa; Arthropoda; Arachnida; Ixodida; Ixodidae.